GACGAAGGAUGCAAGCGUUAUCCGGAUUCACUGGGUUUAAAGGGAGCGUAGGUGGCUUUGUAAGUCAGUGGUGAAAUCUUCUCGCUUAACGAGAAAACUGCCAUUGAUACUGCAGAGCUUGAGUACAGUUGCCGUUGGCGGAAUAUGACAUGUAGUGGUGAAAUACAUAGAGAUGUCAUAGAACACCGAUUGCGAAGGCAGCUAACGAAACUGUAACUGGCACUGAGGCUCGAAAGUGCGGGGAUCAAACAGG
Molecule: ribosomal RNA, 253 nt
Filed under: uncultured bacterium
Lineage: Bacteria
Description: partial 16S ribosomal RNA
Rfam family: Bacterial small subunit ribosomal RNA
Source: RNAcentral